This 450-nucleotide ribosomal RNA is filed under the name uncultured prokaryote. RNAcentral's name for it is "bacterial SSU rRNA". It matches the Rfam family "Bacterial small subunit ribosomal RNA", at positions 355 to 796 of the family's 1533-position model. The record is from RNAcentral.
UGGGGAAUAUUGGACAAUGGGGGCAACCCUGAUCCAGCAAUGCCGCGUGUGUGAAGAAGGCCUGCGGGUUGUAAAGCACUUUCAGUAGAGAAGAAAAACCCAGGGGUUAAUACCCCCAGGGCUUGACGUAACCUACAGAAGAAGCACCGGCUAACUCCGUGCCAGCAGCCGCGGUAAUACGGAGGGUGCGAGCGUUAAUCGGAAUUACUGGGCGUAAAGCGCGCGUAGGCGGUCUGGUCAGUCGGAUGUGAAAGCCCCGGGCUUAACCUGGGAACUGCAUUCGAUACUGCCAAACUAGAAUGUGGGAGAGGGAAGUGGAAUUUCCGGUGUAGCGGUGAAAUGCGUAGAUAUCGGAAGGAACACCAGUGGCGAAGGCGGCUUCCUGGCCCAACAUUGACGCUGAGGUGCGAAAGCGUGGGUAGCGAACAGGAUUAGAUACCCCCGUAGUCC